Heterocephalus glaber (naked mole-rat) is the source of this 2076-nucleotide long non-coding RNA. The record is from Ensembl. NCBI's taxonomy places the organism in Eukaryota, Metazoa, Chordata, Mammalia, Rodentia, Bathyergidae.
GGUAUAGCUCACUGAGAAGGCCCCUGGGUUCAAUCCCCAGUAUCACAGGAAGGGGAGGGAGGGAGGAGAGAAAAACAUAAAUCCAAUCUGGCCCUUCCCUUCCCAGCUCACAUGGGCAGUACCAUGGCUCUGAGUAACAUCCAGGCACUGUAUGGUGGCCCAGAAGACCCAGACCCCUCCCUGUCCAGCUCCUGCCACACCCAUCCUUGCCCCAUAUUUGUGACACUGCUGGUGAGGUGAGGUCAUCCCCACACUGUGUCCUGCUCUUCCAUCCUUUGCACCUGCCAGUCCUCCUGCCCAAAACCCCUGCCUUGGAGGAGGUGGACGGCUCCUCCUCCCCCUGCAGGGCUCAGCUGAACUCCAGUUUCCCUCAUCCUUUGUUCAAAGCUCAAAUCACAGUCUGGAACCACUCUGCUCUGCGCUUAUUGUGUGCACCCCUCCCCAGAACAUCAGCCCCUUGAAGGGGGACCCAGUCUGUCUUGAUCACCUCUGGAUCCCCAGUGCCAAAACAGGACAGGAAUGAGAUGUGCUUUUCCAAGAGGGCUUCCUGGGUCACAGGCUGGGGACGGAUUUUUGUUUUUGUGUUUUUGUAGUACUGGAGAUUGAGCCCAAGGCCAUCACACUGAGCUCCAUCCCUAGCCAUUUUUUUUAAAUUUUUUUUAUUUUUUUUGGUACUGUUGAACUCGGGACCUUGCACUUGCGAGGCAGGUGGCAGAACCACUAAGCUAAAUCCCCGGCCCCUCCCUUUUUAGUUUUUUAUUUUGGGGCAGAAUAGUCUCAUUAAGUUGCCCAGGCUGGGCUCAAACUUCUGCAGUCUUCCUGCCUCAGCCCCCCGCCCCGUAGGGAACAUUUUGUGGCCCACUUGUGCCCACCUUGUCCCCCACUUGGGAUAUCAGUAGGCUCAGUCAUCUGGACUUUGUGUUCUCUGUUACCUACACAGUGCCUCUGCAGCUACUUUCAUUAAUGUAGGAAAACCCAUUUUACCAGGACAAACCUGUUUCAUGAACUAGACUCAACUAUUUUUGAGAACUGGCAGAAAGUGACCAAGGCCUCAGGGAGACCAAGGGGUAUGUGAUAUGUCGCUGUUCUUUGGGAGCCUCCAGCAUCUUGAGGACACACCUGUCACUGAUUAAAAAAAACAAGCCACACACACACACACACAAAACAAGCCACAGCUGGAAUUUUAGCACUCAGGAGGCUGAGGCAGGAGGAUUGCCAAGAGUUUGAGGCCAGCCUGGACUACAUAGCAAGACCCUGUCAAAAGUAAUUUUUUUGUGUGUACCAGAGAUGGAACUCAGCACUUUGGGUUUUGAGGCAGGUGGCGACACCACUGAGCUAAAUCCUGGGCCCAAAAAAUAAAUAAAUUUUUUUAAAAAUUAAAGAAUAAAACAAGCCCUUGGACUAGGCAUAGUGACACAUGCCCAUAAUCCCAGCUACUGGGGAGGCUGAGGCAGGAGAAUCACAGUUCAUGGCCAGCCUGGACCACUUAGCAAGAUCUGUCUCAAGAAACAAAACAUAAACACUAGCCCUUGAGCCAGGCAUGGUGCUGCAUACCUGUAAUCCCAGGUAACUGGAAUGCUGAGAUAGAAGGAUCACAUGUUCAAGGCCAGCCUAGGGAAUUUAGUAAGACCCUGUCUCAAGACAUAUUUUUAAAAAGGAAUGGGGAUGUAGCUCAGUGGUAGAGCCCUUGUCUAGCACAUUUGAGGCUCUGGGCCCAGGCCCCAUUGCACACAAAUACACACACUCCUAGCCCUUGGUUACCUGACAGGAGUGAGUCCCCAGGCAGUUAAGUGCUCUGUGCCACAGAAAUGGGGUGGACACCAUGCAAAAGAAAAGGGGAAGAGCCACCUGCCACGGGUGGAGACCCAGACGCAGCUGGAGCAUGCGCGCAUUGGGGAGCUGGAGCAGAGCCUGCUACUGGAGAAGGCGCAGGCGGAGCGGCUGCUCCGAGAAUUGGCGGACAACAGGCUGACCACGGUGGCCGAGAAGUCGCAUGUUGCAGCUGGAGGAGGAGCUGAGCCUGCGGUGGCGGCGAGAUCGAGCAGCUGCAGCAGUGCCUGCUGCACGCUGGGCCCC